CCUACGGGAGGCAGCAGUGAGGAAUAUUGGUCAAUGGGCGCGAGACUGAACCAGCCAAGUAGCGUGAAGGAUGACUGCCCUACGGGUUGUAAACUUCUUUUAUAAAGGAAUAAAGUGCGGCACGUGUGCCUUUUUGUAUGUACUUUAUGAAUAAGGAUCGGCUAACUCCGUGCCAGCAGCCGCGGUAAUACGGAGGGUCCGAGCGUUAUCCGGAUUUAUUGGGUUUAAAGGGAGCGUAGAUGGUUUGUUAAGUCAGUUGUGAAAGUUUGCGGCUCAACCGUAAAAUUGCAAUUGAUACUGGCAGUCUUGAGUACAGUUGAGGUAGGCGGAAUGCGUGGUGUAGCGGUGAAAUGCAUAGAUAUCACGAAGAACUCCGAUUGCGAAGGCAGCUUACUAAACUGCCACUGACAUUGAGGCUCGAAAGUGUGGGUAUCAAACAGGAUUAGAUACCCCAGUAGUC
RNAcentral lists this ribosomal RNA (460 nucleotides) under uncultured bacterium. RNAcentral describes it as "partial 16S ribosomal RNA". It matches the Rfam family "Bacterial small subunit ribosomal RNA", at positions 338 to 795 of the family's 1533-position model. The record is from RNAcentral.